AUAAGGCCCAAAGGUUAGACAAUUUAUCAGAUUAUAUAUAUAUAUAUAUAAGAAACUAUUCCAAGCCCUUUUCCUCCCUUUCCUUUUCCAGGAGACUACUUUGGGCUGCCAGAACACUGUAUCAAACCUGCUACCUAUCUUAGGGCCUAUCUUUCUGGUGGAAUUUUGAAGGCCCUAACAGAAAUGGUCUUCCAGAAACAGAGAAAACUAAAAUUUUAUUUAUUUACUCUUGAGAGCAUGAUUAUAAAACAGAUUGAGGUAAACUGUAACCUCAGAAUGAGAUUGGAUUUAAAUUCAUAGCAAUAAGGAUGAACCAUCCCUCCAGCUGUCUGUGUGAUUGCAGUAUGUAUAUUCAUCCACUGAAACUAUUUGCUAGGUACCAACAAAGUGCCAGGUACUGCAGAUGUCAAUCAAAUGCUUUCUGUCCUGAUGGAACUCACAGUAGCAAUUAGAGGAAGACAUAUGUGGAAACAAACAAAAAAAAAGGAGUAGUUUUUUCUUGUUGUUGUUUUUUUUUUUUUAGUACUAUUAGAUUACAAAGGAGAGAGAGGUCAUUUCUACCUGAGGAGAUAAAGAAUGGGGUCAAGAAAGGCAUUGUGGGAAAAGUAGACCGAAGCUAAGUCUCAGAAAUGAAGUAGGGGUGUCCAGGCUGCUUCAGGCAGAGGACACACUGAGCUGAGACACAGAAGCAUGAAACAGCAUGAGGAUUUUAAGGAACUGGAUGUAAUUUGUAAUGAGCAAAAGGCUCAAGGGAGACGUGGCAAGAAAUGAGGCUGGAUGGAAAGAUAGGUUCAAUGUAAGCACUUUAUAGAAUAAUUCUAUUUAAUUUCUGAUUCAAUUAAUCAAAUUUUCUUGGUCAUUUAUUGUGUGUAAGGCACCAAGUACAUCACGGAAAAUUGAUCAGGAUGUGUUGCAAGCACUUUGCAGACAUGACGGUCUUUACCCUCAAGCUUUCCUGUGGCCAAAGGGAAAUAGUGGCUGCUUUUCAUGUAUUUGUGUCAGAGUUUCUUGACAUGGUCAAUGAAGACUGAUGUGAGGGCAGUGGGAUUUUCACAGAAGCAUUCCAUGUUGUCAAGAGCCUCUGGGACUUUCUCAACUGUGAAAGAGAAAACUGGAAAUUUUGGAAGACGUGUCCGCAGAGGGGACCUCCAGUCAGGUACUGGAAGGAAUGGGGAAAGAGCACAGGAAUGA
This 1191-nucleotide long non-coding RNA is filed under the name Capra hircus (goat). Its description in RNAcentral is "lncRNA (ENSCHIG00010005607.1)". Lineage: Eukaryota; Metazoa; Chordata; Mammalia; Artiodactyla; Bovidae. The record is from RNAcentral.